RNAcentral lists this ribosomal RNA (733 nucleotides) under Sarcomyxa edulis. RNAcentral's name for it is "LSU rRNA". It matches the Rfam family "Eukaryotic large subunit ribosomal RNA", at positions 1 to 667 of the family's 3401-position model. Lineage: Eukaryota; Fungi; Basidiomycota; Agaricomycetes; Agaricales; Mycenaceae. The record is from RNAcentral.
CAGCUUCUAACCAUCCCGCAAGGGAUAACAACUUAAUUGACAUUUUGACCUCAAAUCAGGUAGGACUACCCGCUGAACUUAAGCAUAUCAAUAAGCGGAGGAAAAGAAACUAACAAGGAUUCCCCUAGUAACUGCGAGUGAAGCGGGAAAAGCUCAAAUUUAAAAUCUGGCGGUCCUCGCGGCCGUCCGAGUUGUAAUCUAGAGAAGUGCUAUCCGCGCUGGACCGUGUACAAGUCUCCUGGAAUGGAGCGUCAUAGAGGGUGAGAAUCCCGUCUUUGACACGGACUGCCAGGGCUUUGUGAUGCGCUCUCGAAGAGUCGAGUUGUUUGGGAAUGCAGCUCAAAAUGGGUGGUAAAUUCCAUCUAAAGCUAAAUAUUGGCGAGAGACCGAUAGCGAACAAGUACCGUGAGGGAAAGAUGAAAAGAACUUUGGAAAGAGAGUUAAACAGUACGUGAAAUUGUUGAAAGGGAAACGCUUGAAGUCAGUCGCGUCGUUCAGGGAUCAACCUUGCAUUUUUGCUGGGCGUACUUCCUGUUUGACGGGUCAGCAUCAAUUUUGACCGUCGGAUAAAGGCUUGGGGAAUGUGGCAUCUUCGGAUGUGUUAUAGCCCUGGGUCGCAUACGACGGUUGGGAUUGAGGAACUCAGCACGCCGCAAGGCCGGGUGUUCGCACCACGUACGUGCUUAGGAUGCUGGCAUAAUGGCUUUAAUCGACCCGUCUUGAAACACGGACC